UACCAUAAAUAACUCGAUUUCAUGUCGCAAAUCAUAAAAUCUUUUCAACAUCUGUCUCGACUUUACUUCCGAAAAGUAAAUGAUGUUGCUAUAGUCAGCAUCCAUACUUUUAAGGAAUUCCUGGAAUUGGCAAUGAUUCAAUCUCUUGGCCCCUAUGAAAUUCACAGCCUUGAUGACAAUUUGCAUGAUGUUAUCCAUUUUUAAAGCUUUUGUGCAUAAAUUUUCUUGAUGUACUAUACAAUGACACAUCAUCAAAAGUGAGUUUCAGGCGGCAACUGCAUCAUUUUCUAUUAAUUUUACAACUCCCUCUCUUUUACGUACCAUCGCAGGGGCAUCAUCAGUAACUAUACCAGGUAUGUUCACAACGCACAAAGAAAAUUGCUUUAAUGCAUCUUUUACUACUUCGUAUAAAUCUCUUGAUUUACUCUGUUUUUUAAUGGCACUAAAAAAGCCAUUUCUUCAUUAUAUGGGUUUAUUAUUUCUUCAUUAUAUGGCUUUAUAUAAUGAUGACAUUCUAUUCGUCAUCAAUGCCUCUAAUAAAAAUGGCAAGUUGUGCCAUAUGUGUAGCAUCAGUGCUUUCAUCCAUCGCCAAAGCACAAAAUUUAAAAUUAGCAGUUUUACGCUCUUUUCAUAGACUUUCCAAUUUCUCCAAUUCACCUGGCUAUAUUCCGGCAAGACAAACUGAUUUUAGAGAUAUCUUCUUUUUUAUCAGGGCAAAUGAUAUAUGCCAUGCCUCCCAUACGUUGCUUAAUAAACUCACCAUCUGUAAAUAGUUUUGCUUUUUGCUAUUAAAUUUGCUAUCAUAUAACUAGCUUUUACAAUAGACUGUUUGAGUUGCAACUUUAAAAAAAAUUUUUUUUGUGAAGACAGACAUUUUUUCAGUUCUGCUAUUUUUGUCCUUACGACACAUUCCUUGAUACGCACCAAAUUUGGCAGCACGUCUUUGCAUAUAAUGCCUUUUCAAAUUAUAGUCUUUGAAACUGGCACAAAUUCCCUACAAAUCAAGCAGAGUGCCUUACUAUUUGCCUUGACAAAAAAGUAGUCAUCUGUCCACUUUUCGUUGAGCAAUCUUCCCUCAUCUGUAUUUUUUAUUUUGGGGGGGGUUUGUUUUCUUUUGAGACAUUGUAGAAGCCAUAUGCUGGAAUUUUAAAAAAUAAUAAUAGAUAAGCAACUCGAUUUACAUUUAUUAUGAAAAUUAAUAGACAGGAAAAUAGAAAGCAAGGUUUAAUAACCAAAUAAGAAGACUAAUACUUAUAGGUCUUCUAACUAAUAUUAAACACCUAUCAUUUACAAAGGUAGGUUGAAAUAUUAUCAAAUAUCAUUGCUCAAGUCGCCAGAAGCACAUAUAACGCCUGAAGGUGUCAAUUCAGUUAGUGCUGUUUCCUGUUCCCUGAGUACAGUUUGGGUCCCACUAGAUGGCAUCAGGUACAGUGCAAGGGAAUUUCAGUGUAGAGUAAGGGUCAAGAAGGUGGUCUACCAUGUAUUAGCUAUGCAAACUCCGCCAACCACUUAACCCUUCUGAACCUCAGUGUCCCCAUCUGUAAAGUGGGGACAAUAACUCUGCUAACUACCUCACAGGCUAUUAUGAUAGUCACAUUUUAACAUCAUUGACAAUUACACUAAGGCAAACCACUACUAAAACAAGUGGCCUGGAAUUAUUUCAUCAAUCUGCUUCUGGUAUGACAGAGUCACUUUUAUCAGACCAAACUCCCUGCCCAAAAUAAGAAGAAACACUGGAUAAAGGGCAAAGGUCGGCUGGGCGCGGUGGCUCUUAAUUCUUACAUCAGCCUCCUUCUACUCCUUCCCCUCCGCCAUUCACCACCACCACAGUCCAAGCUGCCAGUAUCAAGGCUGAACUCCAGCAAUGGCCAGAUUUUUAGCCUCCCUCAGACAUCAAGGCCAGUUCCUGCAGUCAGAAGGCUCUUUCCAAAAUGCAAAUCCCUUGUGACUUUCCCUGCCUAAACCUGACCCAGAAAGCCUCCAUGGUCUCUAUCUUCUGGCCUCUCCGGCCUCAUUUUGCUCCUCUCUCUCCAGCCCUCUGCACUCCAGCCUCACUGGCCGGCCUCCUCUCAGCCCCUUGAGUGGGCUGGGUGACCUUCCACCACAGGGCUCUGUACAAGCUACCCCUCUUCCUCCACUGUCCAACUUGCCGCCUCUCCUAGUAAACUCCUCCUUGACAUCAGAUUUUGGCUAAAUGCAGCUUCCCACAAGGAGCCCUCCCACCCUCACUUUGACGCUUGCCUCAUUAAACAGCAUCCUUUGCUUCGGGUACCCCUUGAUAAGCCCCAGGAAAGCAGGAGCCAGCUCCUAGCACAGGGGCAGGUAUAUGUAGACAAUAAAUGCUUGUUGAAUGACAAUGAAUCUCACUUAACCCUUGAAAUAAACUUAAGCAGUGGACAUUCUUGAUCUCCCUCUAUAGAUAAAGAGACAGGCCAAGAUCACAGAGCUGGGGACAGGUCCCUCUCACUGAAAAGGAACAGAAAGUUCAAUUCACUUCUGAUUAACAAAGAGAAAAAAAAAACUAUUGGGAAAGUACAUCUUACUUCGAAACUUAUGAUACAAAGAACAAAUGGAGAAAUAAAAUGCUGUGACUGGGUUCCUUCUUAUUUAAUUCCUUUCCCCUUGUAUUUUCUCUUUGUCUCUUCUCCCUAAUUUUUCCCCUCUCCCUGCAUUCAGUAGCAGACUUGUAUCCCUUUAAAUACUUCCCAAGGAAGCAGCCUGAACAGCCUUUCCCACAGGUUUGGAAAUGCCCUGCAAUAAAAAUGUCAAGGGUGAAAUAAGACAAUGCAUUUUCUCAGCCCUACAUCAGGCCAAAUUACAUAAUAAAGGACCAACAUCUGAACCAUAAAACUCAGGAUGAAAGUCACCUUUAACUUGCUGGAAUCCUGGUUAAGGUCUGGAUUAAAUGGAGUGGGGGCUGGAGCUAAAGUUGUCAUUCUCCAAGGACUUUCAUACAUCGGGCAAAAAUCUGCUGGGCCCCUUCCCAACCUCCUCCCUUACCCAGUCCCCACUCCGGCCAGAAUGAUACAAACCUUGCAGAGGCUCUGAUGAACUCCCAUCAGUUCUCAGCUGAUUAUUGAGAAAUUGUCCUCUUGUGCUAGAAUUAAAAGCCUGCAUUGUUCCUGCUUAGAGUUCCUCCAUCAGAAGACAGAUGCCCUUAGGCCCCAAUAUCCCUAGGGCUGUAGAAGCAAUCCCUUUCCUGGCUGUCCUGUAGGUACCAUGUACCUGCUAGACUAAACAAAGGUUUGUAACCACACACACCCCAAACAGGCCAGCUCAGGCCAGCAGCACAGCCAAAUUCUGGGAGGCCAGGCAGCACUGGGCCAGUCCCCACUUGACAG
This 3341-nucleotide long non-coding RNA is filed under the name Homo sapiens (human). RNAcentral's name for it is "HSALNT0049511". Lineage: Eukaryota; Metazoa; Chordata; Mammalia; Primates; Hominidae. The record is from RNAcentral.